CGUAAACUCAUUAAACAGAAACGAGUAUUCAAAUCAAAUUAUAAGCUUCUUAGACAGUGAAGCAAUAUUGCUUUGAUGAAAUAAUAUGAAACUUCAAGUACAUGCUCACAACCUUGGGGCUGGAAGAGCAGCAUGUGGGGUGUCCCAUUCAGUGACAAUGUGGUUUCUAGUAAUCUCCUUCAGUGAGCGACAGCCACUCAAUGCCAUAGUUAGCUCAAACUCAUCGCGCAACAUUUGCAGCACUUUUUUCACUCCAGCUUCUCCUUCAG
Molecule: unclassified non-coding RNA, 269 nt
Filed under: Hevea brasiliensis (rubber tree)
Lineage: Eukaryota; Viridiplantae; Streptophyta; Magnoliopsida; Malpighiales; Euphorbiaceae
Source: RNAcentral